AUGUCUGGGGAACAUGCUCCCUCUGAAGGCUUUAGGGGAGGAGACUUCCUUACCUCUUCCUGGCUUCUGCUGGUUGCUGGCAGUCCGUGGUGCACCUUGGCUUAUAGAUGCAUUGUUCCAGUUGCUGCCUCUGUUGUUACAUGGCAUUCUCCCAGUACCUGUUUCUGUAUUGUUCUAGAUGUUGGUGUGGAUCAGGAAUCCUGUCAUUUUUUGCCAUACAGGCUGGAGCUAGGAGAGUUUAUACAGUUGAAGCCAGUUCAGUAGCAUAGUAUGUUGAGGUGAGUGGUUGUAUUAUUUAAGGUAGAUACUAGGUAGGUCUUUAGUAUACUUCAGGGUACCCAGUGAUGGAGUCUUCCAAGUAGGUCAUUUAGAAUAAUCUGUUUUUAACCAGUAAUAUGGCUUGGCUGUGUCUCCACCCCAGUCUCAUAGUGAAUUGUAUUUCCCUUUAUUCCCAUGUGUCAUGGGAGGGACCCAGUGGGAGAUAGCUGAAUCAUGGGAGCAAUUCCACCUAUACCGUUCUCAUGGCAGUAAGUCUCACGAGAGCUGAUGGUUUUAUAAGGGGAAACCCCUUUUGCUUGGUUCUCAUUCUCUCUUGUCUGCUGCCACGUAAGACAUUCCUUUCACCUUCCACCAUGAUUGUGAGGCAUCCCCAGCUACAUGAAACUAAGUCCAUUAAACUUCUUUCUCUUUAUAAAUUACCCAGUCUUCGGUAUGUCUUUACCAGAAAUGUGAAAAUGGACUAAUGAAAUCAGUCUCUAAUUUUUGCUCUAUUGGAGUGUUUCUGCCAAUCAAGCCUGAUUUCCCUGUAGUGAUUGAUAUGAAACAAUUUUUUAAAAAAUGUCACUGAUACUGAAAUGGUAGCAAAACCUUCUCCCUUCCAAUCCACUGGGUGGCAGAUGGAGCUGGGGGCAGAGGAAGGGAGACAUGAAUGUUUUCUUAUCUUUAAUGAUCUGGGUGAGGAGUAAUGUUUCACUGCAGCUAGAUUUAUUGUUUUUCUUUUUAAGUACUGUAAUGACAGUAGCUGCACCACUCACUUUAAAUUCUACUAUUGGUUUAAGGGGCUGUUGCUACAUAGUUGUAAUCAGAGGAAGAGACAGGUGUCUGUGUUUCGAGGCACUUUUUAAGAUUUCAGUUUCUGAUUGGAGGACAGGGAGAUGAUUUGUUUUAAAUGUAGUGCUCUAUUAUCGUUGUGAAAUGUGUACAAAUAUUGUAAAAUAAGUCAAAGUCAAAAUUCACAUAAUCAUGGCUUUCAGUAAUAUUUGGAUGUAAUAACCCAGUCAAACUGCAGAAAUUGGAUAUGUGUGCACCCCUGUGAACAGACUAAUGGGCUUGUCAUUCAUACCUGGAGGAGGCCUGAAUUUUAAUGAGGGGUAGGAUGACAGAUAGAGAGAAAAGCUUGGCUGCUGCUUCAGAUGAGCAUCAUGAAACCCUCCUCCAGCCCCGGACAACUGGUACCUCUGAGUGAUAGUUGCUUUUGGCAUAAGUGAGCAAAGAGGUCAAGAGACAAGUAGACAACUGUGGCAUGCUUGGAGGGAAAGAUUGUCAGAGCCUAAUGGGUGGGUAGGUGGUUGUAUUCUCUUUUCUUCUUCCAGCAAGUCCUGAAGAAAAUAUUUUCAGUUAUUUCUUUCUUUACCAGUUCUUAAAUGUCAUUUUUAUUAAAUAUUGACUACAUAACAAAUAAUAUUUGUACAUAUAUAUUGUGUAAAGAAUAACAAUACAAUGAAUGUGUGCCCACUUUCCCUUUUAAGAAGUAGACCAUUAGCAUUUUCUUUAAAGGCUCAUGUACCUUGCCCUGAUCACAUCCCUUUUUUGCCCUGAACAGAGAUAGUCACUCCUGUGGAUUUUUGUUUAUCAUUCUCCUAUUCUUUAUACUUUUACCACAUAUGUUUCUAUUCCUCAAAACAUCAUUUAUGAAUUUUCCAUGAAUGGACUCAUAACAUAUGCAUUUUCCUGCAAUUUGCUUUUCUUUUCACCCAAUAUUGUGUUCCUGAAGGGCAUCUUUGUUGAUGCAUACAGCUGUUGUUUAUACAAUUUUCGAUGUAUAAACCAUGUAGAGUGUCUCAUGGUAUGCUCUGCUUCCAGUUGUUAGUCCUGUUGGCAGACUUUGGAUGGCUUCCAUUAUGAAAGUAUUGUUAUGAAUAGUUUUGCACAGUCUCCACUGCGUCUUUGCUGAAGUUUCUCAGGCAUACACAGGAGUGGAAUUGUUGGGUCAUAGGGUGUGCAUACCUUUGACUUUGCUAUAUAUAACACCAAAUUAUUUUCCAAAGUGGUUGUGCCCGCUUUUAUUCCCUCCAGCAGUAUAUGUGUACCAUUGUUCUGUGUCUUUGUCAGCACUUCGAUAAUGUCAGACUCUGAAAUUUUUGCCAAUCUAGCGGUUAUGACAGGAUCUUUGUGGUUUUAACUUGUUUUUUUCACUUACUAAUGACUUUGAACAUAUUUGCAAGUAUUUUGGCCAUUCGUGCUUUCUAUUCUAUAAAAUGC
RNAcentral lists this long non-coding RNA (2481 nucleotides) under Callithrix jacchus (white-tufted-ear marmoset). RNAcentral's name for it is "lncRNA (ENSCJAG00000084070.1)". Lineage: Eukaryota; Metazoa; Chordata; Mammalia; Primates; Cebidae. The record is from RNAcentral.